AGAGUUUGAUCAUGGCUCAGGAUAAACGCUGGCGGCAUGCCUAAUACAUGCAAGUCUGACGGGUGUGCUUGCACAUCCGUGGCGAACGGGUGAGUAAUAUGUAGGUAACCUACCCUUAAGACGAGGAUAACCAUUAGAAAUGAUGAACAAUACUGGAUAGUAUAUGGAACCGCAUGAUUCUAUAUUUAAAGGUGCGUUUGCACCACUUAAGGAGGGGCUUAUAUCGCAUUAGCUAGUUGGUAAGGUAACGGCCUACCAAGGCGACGAUGCGUAACUGUGCUGAGAGGCAAAACAGUCACAUUGGAACUGAUACACGGUCCAAACUCCUACGGGAGGCAGCAGUAGGGAAUUUUCAGCAAUGGAGGAAACUCUGACCGAGCAAUGCCGCGUGAAUGAUGAAGAUCUUCGGAUUGUAAAAUUCUGUUAUUGGGGAAGAAUUACACUAUUAGGAAAUGAGUAGUGCUUGACAGUACCCGAUUAGAAAGCCCCGGCUAACUAUGUGCCAGCAGCCGCGGUAAUACAUAGGGGGCAAGCGUUAUCCGGAAUUAUUGGGCGUAAAGCGUGCGUAGGCGGUUUAUUAAGUCUGGUGUGAAAUCCCACAGCUUAACUGUGGAGGGUCAUUGGAAACUGGUAAACUAGAGUACGGUAGGGAUAAGUGGAAUUCCAAGUGGAGCGGUGGAAUGCGUAGAGAUUUGGAGGAACACCAGUGGCGAAGGCGGCUUAUUGGGCCGGAACUGACGCUGAGGCACGAAAGCGUGGGGAGCAAACAGGAUUAGAUACCCUGGUAGUCCACGCCGUAAACGAUGAGCACUAAGUUCUGGGAGUAUUUUCGGAGCUGCAGUUAACACAUUAAGUGCUCCGCCUGGGGAGUACGGUCGCAAGACUGAAACUCAAAGGAAUUGACGGGGACUCGCACAAGCGGUGGAGCAUGCGGUUUAAUUCGAUGCAACGCGAAGAACCUUACCAGGUCUUGACAUCUGAUUGCCAGGACUAGAGAUAGUCCCUUUCUUCGGAACAAUCAAGACAGGUGGUGCAUGGUUGUCGUCAGCUCGUGUCGUGAGAUGUUGGGUUAAGUCCCGCAACGAGCGCAACCCUUACCUUUAGUUGCUACGCAAGAGCACUCUAAAGGGACUGCCGUUGACAAAACGGAGGAAGGUGGGGAUGACGUCAAAUCAUCAUGCCCCUUAUGACCUGGGCUACACACGUACUACAAUGGCAAUUAACAAAGAGAAGCGAGACGGUGACGUGGAGCGAAUCUCAAAAAAUUGUCCCAGUUCAGAUUGCAGGCUGCAACUCGCCUGCAUGAAGUCGGAAUUGCUAGUAAUCGCGGAUCAGCAUGCCGCGGUGAAUACGUUCCCGGGCCUUGUACACACCGCCCGUCACACCAUGGGAGUCGGUAACACCCGAAGUCGGUAGUCUAACAGCAAUGAGGAUGCCGCCGAAGGUGGGAUUGAUGACUGGGGUGAAGUCGUAACAAGGUAACC
RNAcentral lists this ribosomal RNA (1484 nucleotides) under uncultured bacterium. RNAcentral describes it as "partial 16S ribosomal RNA". It matches the Rfam family "Bacterial small subunit ribosomal RNA". The record is from RNAcentral.